AUUGAACGCUGGCGGCAGGCCUAACACAUGCAAGUCGAGCGGAUGACAGGAGCUUGCUCCUGAAUUCAGCGGCGGACGGGUGAGUAAUGCCUAGGAAUCUGCCUGGUAGUGGGGGACAACGUCUCGAAAGGGACGCUAAUACCGCAUACGUCCUACGGGAGAAAGCAGGGGACCUUCGGGCCUUGCGCUAUCAGAUGAGCCUAGGUCGGAUUAGCUAGUUGGUGAGGUAAUGGCUCACCAAGGCGACGAUCCGUAACUGGUCUGAGAGGAUGAUCAGUCACACUGGAACUGAGACACGGUCCAGACUCCUACGGGAGGCAGCAGUGGGGAAUAUUGGACAAUGGGCGAAAGCCUGAUCCAGCCAUGCCGCGUGUGUGAAGAAGGUCUUCGGAUUGUAAAGCACUUUAAGUUGGGAGGAAGGGCAGUAACUUAAUACGUUGCUGUUUUGACGUUACCGACAGAAUAAGCACCGG
RNAcentral lists this ribosomal RNA (473 nucleotides) under Pseudomonas sp. NN018588. Its description in RNAcentral is "bacterial SSU rRNA". It matches the Rfam family "Bacterial small subunit ribosomal RNA", at positions 30 to 496 of the family's 1533-position model. The record is from RNAcentral. Lineage: Bacteria; Pseudomonadati; Pseudomonadota; Gammaproteobacteria; Pseudomonadales; Pseudomonadaceae.